This 587-nucleotide ribosomal RNA is filed under the name uncultured bacterium. RNAcentral's name for it is "partial 16S ribosomal RNA". It matches the Rfam family "Bacterial small subunit ribosomal RNA", at positions 355 to 1375 of the family's 1533-position model. The record is from RNAcentral.
UGGGGAAUUUUGGACAAUGGGCGAAAGCCUGAUCCAGCAAUGCCGCGUGUGUGAAGAAGGCCUUCGGGUUGUAAAGCACUUUUGUCCGGAAAGAAAUCCUUGGCUCUAAUACAGUCGGGGGAUGACGGUACCGGAAGAAUAAGCACCGGCUAACUACGUGCCAGCAGCCGCGGUAAUACGUAGGGUGCAAGCGUUAAUCGGAAUUACUGGGCGUAAAGCGUGCGCAGGCGGUUUGCUAAGACCGAUGUGAAAUCCCCGGGCUCAACCUGGGAACUGCAUUGGUGACUGGCAGGCUAGAGUAUGGCAGAGGGGGGUAGAAUUCCACGUGUAGCAGUGAAAUGCGUAGAGAUGUGGAGGAAUACCGAUGGCGAAGGCAGCCCCCUGGGCCAAGUACUGACGCUCAUGCACGAAAGCGUGGGGAGCAAACAGGAUUAGAUACCCUGGUAGUCCACGCCCCUAAACGAUGUCAACUAGUUGUUGGGGAUUCAUUUCCUUAGUAACGUAGCUAACGCGUGAAGUUGACCGCCUGGGGAGUACGGUCGCAAGAUUAAAACUCAAAGGAAUUGACGGGGUCAUAGCUGUUUCCU